This is a small nucleolar RNA of Ochotona princeps (American pika), 75 nucleotides long. NCBI's taxonomy places the organism in Eukaryota, Metazoa, Chordata, Mammalia, Lagomorpha, Ochotonidae. The record is from Ensembl.
GUAUGAAUGAGGAGUUGAAGGUUAAUUAGCAGUAUAACUAUGAGUAGUAAUGCUGUCAGUCUCCUUCAGAUACAC